AGAUUGUUAGUUAAGAUAUAACACUAAUCUGUCACAUUAGAAUAACCCGCCCAGGUACAGUCUU
This 64-nucleotide transfer RNA is filed under the name Polydora cf. ciliata DS-2023. RNAcentral's name for it is "tRNA-Asp". The record is from RNAcentral. Lineage: Eukaryota; Metazoa; Annelida; Polychaeta; Spionida; Spionidae.